UUCCUACGGGAGGCAGCAGCCGCGGUAAUACGUAGGGGGCAAGCGUUAUCCGGAUUUACUGGGUGUAAAGGGAGCGUAGACGGCAGCGCAAGUCUGGAGUGAAAUGCCGGGGCCCAACCCCGGAACUGCUUUGGAAACUGUGCAGCUCGAGUGCAGGAGAGGUAAGCGGAAUUCCUAGUGUAGCGGUGAAAUGCGUAGAUAUUAGGAGGAACACCAGUGGCGAAGGCGGCUUACUGGACUGUAACUGACGUUGAGGCUCGA
RNAcentral lists this ribosomal RNA (261 nucleotides) under uncultured bacterium. Its description in RNAcentral is "partial 16S ribosomal RNA". It matches the Rfam family "Bacterial small subunit ribosomal RNA", at positions 498 to 756 of the family's 1533-position model. The record is from RNAcentral.